GGCAGGUCGAAGUGGCGGGGCAUAUGACUUGAUGUACCCGAGCACUUGAUGUGUAUCGGGGAAAUCCUCGGCGACCGAGUCCGGCCAUGGGAAGUCCGAGAACUGGUAGGCUGGUUUUGGGGUCUGGAGCUUCGUGGUCUCCACGGUCUUUGUCCAGACUCCUCCAAUGCCGGCUUCGGACUCGAAGACGAUGGGGUGGAGGCCCUUAGAGAGGGUGUAUUUGGAGGCUAGGAGGCCGCUGAUCCCAGCACCAACUAUGGCUAUCUUUUUAGUCUCCAUCUCACUUUGUUCAAAUGGCUUUUCCUGUUCUGGAGAGAACUAGGUAUAUAUAUAUAUAUAUAUAUAUAAUCAAAGGUCUAAUGAUGUUGGGUGGAAAUGCACUAAGAAAAUUGAUUUGAAACCAACCACCCAUCUGUCGGUUUCUCCUGAAACAGUUCUUCAGGGAAAUAUGAUUUUACGUGUUUCACUUGCCUUUACCAAUGCUCGGUCCGGCAUUAGCAUAGCUUGGGGAACAUUAUGUGCCUAAUUCAACGCAUAUUGGCAGCCAUCGUCUUUGAACCGACCUCUUGACUAGCAUCACUUUUUUACCUUUAGAAAAUCAUCUUGAAACUGUAGAGUACAUGGCAAGCUGUCUAUUUCUUCAUCAAUAUAGUGUUUACCCGGAUUGACUUGAGGACAGAAUUAGACUUUCGAAUGUAUUGCCUAAUAAUCCACAACAGUUUUAUUUAAAUAUUUUAAUAAAAACUGUGUUUGUUUUGGAGAAAAAGUCAUGUAAAAGAUGAUGCUUUGCAGGAAACCAUUUUGUAGGAAAAAGUGUUUUUUCGAACUUUAUACAUGCAUAUUUUCUUAAUUAUAAAUGAUAAGCCGGGUGGAUUAAUAGGACUGCAUUUCUUAUUUUAACGUGCUGGUGCUCGCAGGCUCAACAUUCCCCAAGCUUCCCUCUAUAUAUUUCUCUUCCUUAAAAGGAGGGAAUACCUUUUCAAAGUUUAAAUUUAACCAGGAUGAAGCCUUUUAAGGAUUGCUUAGGUCCAUUUGGAUGAGUAAUUGCAAGUUAUACGUCUGGUAAGAUCCAUGUUUGCUUUGCUUUUAUAAUUUACUCAAAUAAUACUGUUUACGGAGUAUUUCCUUUGCCGUGAGAAAAAAUUGACUCUGUAAAGUGAAACCUUGAGCUCAAACUCUUUAACUAGAGAGAGAAUAUUUUUAUAAUGUGCAAUUGAUCUCAAUAAUCAAGUGAUAUAAGAUCAUACUUUAACACCUCAUUUGAAGUGCAAAUUAAACUAAAGUCGUAUACAAGAAGGCACGUGGAAUUGAACAAAGGGGAGUCAUAAAUGCCCAAAAACCCGAGAUAUAAAGGACUCGAAAGCCCGAUUUUAAUACUAUGUUCAAAAUUUCAACUAAAAGGUAAAUAUAUCAUACAGCAAGAUAAAAUGUAAAUAUAAGAGACAAAAGGAAUCUCCCAGAUACGCCAAGUGGUGACGUACUUUGACCGAUCUUAUCUUCCUCGGAGAUAAAUCGCUGUCUCUACGUAUCUUUCGUCUUCUUAUAUUUCAAGGUAAACUUCUUCUCUUUCCAGGCGAUCUUCUAUGCACAAACAAGAACCAGAAAAGAAUGAAAAGAGAAAAGAGGAGAGCGGCCCAUCGACGUCACUGCUAGUGGCAUCGCCGCCGGUCGAAGCUUAUCGAUGGAAGAAUUUAUUAUUGCAGAGCUUGAUUCCAUACCGACGUGGGACCAUAUGGAAAGAGCAAGAUAAUGUUUUCUUUUUCAUAUUUCCAUUUGACUUUUGUGUUCCCAACAAAAUCUGACCCUGAUCAUAUCUAUAUGAUCGUGCUGUCGAGAUGCGCGAGAACCCUUCUGUGACUCUCGUGAAGCGAAGCCGUCGAGAUGCGCGAGAAGACCAGUCCUCACCACCCGACUAUGAAAACUAUGAAAACUCUAUUAAUACGUGACUAUCGCGGCGUACUUCGUAAAACAUAAAUUAAGACCAAGAAGGAAGAAAAAGGAAGUGAAGAACAAGAACGAUGAAGAUGUAUUUUAGAGGCAAAUUCUAAUCUUCUUAUUUUCAUCCUUGUACAUGUGUAAAUUUACAAUAUAAAAUAUAAGAAUAGCAUAAAGAAUAAACAAGAUUACAAUAUGAUUAUAAUUUCCUACUUUAUCUCCGAGCAUCUUUGAUUGAAUCAAUUAAGAUGAAGGUCAAGGAUAAAAUCGUAUUUAUCUUUAAUACUCCCUCUUAAGUUAGUGCAUAGAUAUCUUGGACGUAACUUGUCAAGUGAGCUGUAAAAAAUCCUAUUUGAUGCAGCCUUCGUUAGUAUAUCCGCCAGUUGAUCUUCCGAUUUUACAUACAGAAACCAAAGAACCUUGGUAUCCAGGUUCUACUUAAUGAACAAGAUUAUGAGAAGUACCUCAGUGUGAUCUACCUCAAUGUGUUUUUUAUGGUCAUGUUGAACAAGAUUAUGAGAUAUACCGAUGGUUGCGCAGAACAACCUCAUCUCGAAGAUAGGAGCAUAACCGAGUUCCACCAUUAAUCUCUUAGGCAUAGAAGUUCGCAAAGACCUUUGUGCAUCCCCCUAAAUUCUGCUCUGCACUUGACAAUGCUACCACCUUUUACUUCUUGCUCCUCUAAGUAAUUAAGUUUCCUCCUACAAAAGUGAAAUAUCCAAGUCGACCUCCCAGCCCCGUUAGCAUCCAUAAACCCCUCAAUUUCAAGGUGCCCAUUUCAGAAAACGAAUUCCUCUUCUUGGAGGCCCCUUCAAUUAGUGAAGUAUUCUUAUCAUAGCAUCCAUAUGAACUUUAGUUAGGGCAUGCAUCAUAGUAUAAGCAAUAUCAGGUCGAGUAUGUGACAAAUAAAUUCAUUUUCCUACCAACCUUUAAUACCUUUUUUUGUUAGUUAGUACCUGAUUUGGAUACUCCCCAAAUCUAUGGUUUUGCACAAUUGGAGUGUAUGCGGAUUUACAAUCUAGCAUCUCCACUUCCACUAACAAGUCCAACACGUACUUCAUUUGCGAGAGAAAUAUUCCACCUUUAAAUUGUGCCACUUCUAUUUCUAGGAAGUACCUUAAUCCCCCAAAGUUUUUCAUCUUAAACUCCAAGAAUUUUCUCUUUUGGAGUUUAGAGAUUUCCUAUGUAUCAUCCCUGCAAUAAUCAUAUCGUUAACAUAGAUAAUUAGUAUAGUUAUCUUUCCCUAACAACAUCUUAAGAACAAUAUGUGAUUUGCACCACGCUGAAUGUACCCCCUUUUCUUCAUUGCCACAUUGAACCGAUUGAACCAAGCAUGGGGUGACUGUUUCAACUCGUAUAGAGAUUGUUCUAGCUUGCAGACUACCCCACACUGUGAAGGAAAACUAUACCUUGAUGGAAUGUCCAUAUAAAUUUCUUCUUCUAGAUCGCCAUGAAGGAACGCGUUAUUGACAUCGAACUGGUGCAAUGGCUAGUCUAGAUUCACCACCAGAGAAGUAAAACCUGAACAUUGUUGAGCUUUACGACAGGGGAAAAUGUCUCUUGAUAGUCUACCCUAUAUGUCUUCGUGUAUCCCUUCGGUACUAGCUUUGCUUUGUAUUUCUUGACGGAACCAUCCCCUUUAUAUUCAACCAUUAAAACCCAUUUGCACCCCACCAUCUUCUUCCCUUCAGGCAACUCUACCAAUUUCCGAAGUCUUGUUCUUUUGCAAUGCCUCCAUUUCCUCCUCCUUUGCUUGAACCCACUUUGGGUCUUCCAAAGGCUUUUGCAUCCUAAUUGGGAUGUGAAUUGAAGAAACAUUCAACAAAAAUGCUUUUAGUGGUUUUGAUAGUCUCCUUGUUAAAACAUAGUUUGCAAUAGGGUACUUAGAUCUUUUCCCCUAAGCAUCCAUUGAGUACCGGUCAGGAGGCUUGCCCCUAUUAUACCUAUCAAGUAACUUAUAUUCCAUAGAUAUAUCAGAAUCAUCAAGCAAAUAAGACAUAGUAGUAGGAGAAGUCACCUCAAGAAUAUCCUCAGAAGAUGAUUCAAAUUCGAAUAUUGAAGAGGGAGAAGUUGUUCUUGUAUAUUUGGUUCUUAUACAUCCCUAAUUGCCGAUUGUGGAGCUUGCUCAUUUUCACCAUUUUUUGGUGGUUGCUUUCCAUUUUUCAGCGGCAUUCCCACCGGUUGCUACUCAUUUUCGGGCUGCACCUCUUGCGUUCCUCUUGUCCUCUAGACAUGACACCACCCACUUGCCACCAAUUCACACUUUCUUCCUAUAUUUCCCCUUGAAAGGAAGAAUUGGUGCCAAGAUAAUUUUUUUUUUUUAACUCAACAAAACAUGACAUCUAUUGUCACAUAGUUCUUUUGGUAGCUAGGUGAUAGCAGCGAUAACCUUUCUGAUGUGUACUAUAUCCCAAGAAAAUACAUUGAGCAGGAUAAGGAUCAAGUUUGGUCCGGUGAAUCUUUGAAAUAUGGAUAUAACCGACACACCCAAACACCUAAGGUGAAACAAACAAGACAGUUGGCAAGGUAGCAUGUGUAGACAGUACUUGUAGAGGUGUCUUGAAAUCCAGUACCUUGGAUGACAUUCGAUUUUGGAGGUGAACAUAUGUCGCAACUGCAUUGUCCCAAAAGCAUUUAGGAACGCGACCUUUGGUGAGAAGGGCACAAGUGAUCUCUAAGAUGUGUUUUUGCUCCGCUACUCCAUUCUAUUGUGGUGUCCGAAAACAUGAUGUCUCAUGCAGUAUAGGUCAUGUUCCUAAAAAUAUUCCUUAGGUUGUGCAUUAAUGUGCUCUUCACCAUUAUCACUUCUCAAAAUUUGUAACUUCCCACUAGAUUGUGUUUGCACCAUUAAUAAACACUCGAAAAAUAUUAACCACCUCAUCCUUGUGUUCCAAAAAAUAGAGCCAAGUCAUUAUGAUGUGAUCAUCCAUAAAUAUAACAAACCAACAUCUUCUGGAAACUGCAGAUCGGGAGAAGGCCCCAAAUAUCAAAUGGACUAAGGAAAACACAACACUACUCUUAUUCAAAUUGAUUAGAAAUGGCAUGUAAUGGCUUUUAGCCAAUAUACAAGUCUGACAUUGAAAAAUUGAAUAUGAUAAAUUAGAAAACUACUUCAGGAAGUAAAUGGCUCAUAUAGUCAAAUGAAGGAUGCCCCAAUCGGCAAUGCCAUAGCCAAAUCUGCUUCCCCUUUAAUCUAAUAAGCGUCGCACCUAGUGCACCCUCCCAAAACUAAAGUCAUUCAAGUAAUAGAGCCCCCCACUUAGUAUCACGUCCCUUUGUGAAAAUAUCUUCCCCCACUUAGCAUCACGUCCCUUUGUGAAAAUAUCCUAAAAAAGACAAAAUUGUGGGUACAUCAAAGUAGCACAAUUAAGAUCUUUAGCCGCCUGCCCCACUGAUAUUAAUUUUUGUGGACAACGAUGGCAUAAGUAAAGUGUUCAGUAAAGAUAUAGAAGGGAAAUAGCAACGGUUAUAGUGUCUUUUAUUGGAUAUAUAAUCCCAUUAGCAUUUGAAAUAUUCUGCCACAUUGAUUUAGUAAGACUGACAAAAUCAUCUAUUGUGAAGGUCAUUUGAUCUGUAGCACUUGAAUCAAUAAUCCAUCGACUACAUUUAUUUUGAGAGUUACUAAUGAAAUCAUGAGCAUAAUUACCUUCACAUCCAGUGGUUGACUUCCUGUUCGGUUUUACCCGUGCUAUUAGCGAUAGCUAAGCUUCCCUUUUCCGCCAUUCGCUGCACUCUUUGCUUGUUUGCGUGCCUUCACCUCCUUCCACCAAUCAGGAUACCCAAUCAAUUUGAAACAUGUUUCUUGGGUAUGCUUCACACUCCCACAAUUGGAGCAGCCACCAACUCUUGUUGAUGAAGAUUUGCUUCACAGUGCUCCACUUGGUUGACCUCAACCUGUCAAACCACCUCACUUUGUCAUUUGUAAAGCCGACAUUUGUCAAGUUCGGUAAAAGGUCUGUGGUCCUACCUUACUUCCUCAAGAUACCAUAGCUGCAGACGAGUGUGUGGUAUCUUUGUGUGCCAGCAUCACACUCUGUCGUAUGUCCUCCCAUCGAACAUGAGUAUAGGCCUGCUCAACUAUGGGAAAAGGCUGCAUUUGAAGCUCAUUCGCUUGAACUUUAUCCAAGUAGUCAUCCCACAUAUCAAGGGAGAUGUAGGCCCGAUCUUCCUAAAUAGCUGAAUUAUAUUGCUUGAUAUCGAUAGGGCAAACCAUCGGAUUUGGGUGGCGGAAGCCAAUCUCGCCACGAACCUUGCAAACCAUUGUAAUAAGUCUUAGUAGGUCCUCUAGAUGUCUCAUCCUAGUCACAUGUUGUUUAAGAUCAUAAACCUAGGAUGCAUCAAUUCCAUCAAAAAGGAGGUAGCAAUUGAAUCCCAACCUUUGUGGUUGGGAAUUGGAUAAAAUUCCCCAUCAAGGCGGGUUCCAUCAAGUUUAUCAACCAUCCCUUCACUAUGGAGUCCCCAUUUUCCAUUUGCGAAAUUCGGGAUCAAUAGGUUUAGGCUAAGAAAGGUCUCCAUUGAUAUUCUGCCAUUUAUCUUUCCUUGAGAUGUACAUCUUGACAACUUGGGGCCAUAAACAAUAAUUGGUCCCAUCCAACUUUAUUGAAAUUUGUGGUGGCUCAAAAUCUCCUUUAUUCAAUUCAUCAAAUCCUCCAAAAAAGCAAUGGUAGGAUUGGAGGUCUCUCCUUGCCCCUAAUGAGGCACCAUAUCACCAUGGCCUGACAUAGCUUCAGGUCACUCUCCUAGACGGUUCUCCAACGGAAUCAAGCUACUACCGUCUACAUUGGUGGAUGGGGAACUUGCAAAUGGGUUGGUAGUAAUUUGAACAAUAGCGCAUGGAGUAGUGACGAUCUGGGUCGUGACGAUUUGGGCAAAGAUGUUGCUACUUGGGACAAGUUGGAGUAGUGUUGGUCUACGUGGCGUCGGUGUGAGGAUCAGAGCGAUGUCAAACUAACUUCCCUUAGAUCGACGUUGGUCAAAUUGUGGCACAAGAAAGCUUACGAUAGUGGUGUGACUCGAAAGUAAGUAUGGUGAGUCUGGUUAGUAAUGGAGGGGCAAUUGCAACGGCACGGUAAUCAGAACAGUGCGGCGGCGGCGAUAAUAACAUUAUGUUUUGAGAUUUAAUUGCCAGAUGUCAUAUAGAUAGUUUGUGAUGCUUCCUGCCUGUGGCUUUCCAUUGUUUCAACACUAGCGAGUUUGAUUUUUUCUGGUAAUCUCGUACUCCAAUCUUUAACAGCAAUACUGAUGAAUUCUCUGAUUCUGUAUGCAGCUUGUUCAUCUGCAAUAAGGAAUGACUCGCUGGACUCCUAUUUACAUGUUGCUAAUGGAACUUAUGUCUUCACUGCUAACAAUUGUGUGAUGUGCACCUGCGACGCAGCAAAUAACUGGACGUCAGUAUUACCAUUCUAGAAUUUCUUUAGAUCACGUCCUUCUUGUGGACAAUCUUCCAGUAAUUCUUCUCUUUCCAAACAAUCUCUCAGAAUUUAUGAUUCAUUUCCCUAUACAUGAACAGAUUACAUUGCUAGGCAUCCUAGCUUAAGCCAUCUAAUCAGUCGGCUUGCCCCUCAAUGCAAUGCGAGGGUUCAAAUUUACUCCUGGGCAACUCAACUUCGACAUCUUGUAACCGCACAACCUGUGCCUAUGCUGGUUAUAUGAACCAGACUAUUCUAACAGUGCUCGUCAACGAUAACACUUGUCCAGGUACACACUCAAAAUUCAUGAUGGCUAUGAAGUAAUGAACCUGAUGAAGAGAUCACUUCACCUACCCCAUAGUACGCAUUUGUUUCGAAUAGCCCACUAAAAGCUUUAUAACUGUUGGAAAUGGUGAUCCAUUUUCUAGAAUCUCCUAGAGUUGCUAAACUUCUAGAAUUCCCUAGAUGAAGUUUCUGGAAGAAAGAGAAAAAUGUAGAAGCACAUGUGUAGAUCUCUCUAGAAGAAGAGAGGAUAAACUACAAUCUAAAACUCUCUAGAUUAAGCCAAAGUGGACAACAUUCUACACAAAUCUAGAAUGUUGGUAGAGCACCCUAUAAAUAGGAAAGAGGGGAGAGCAUAGUAGAACAACAAAUGUAAAAGAGUGAAGGGAGCUAACCAUAAAAACCACUAGCUCCCUCACCAACACCUCCUUCAACUAUUGUAAAAUUAUUUUCAUAAACUAGUUGAAUUAUCUUUGUCCCAUAAUUUCCUAUCCUUGUCCAUUCUCUACAAACUGUAUCAUACACUUGCACACACCAUUAAUAAAAAACUAUAACUAAUACCAAAACCAUGCUUCCGCACGCUCACAUCCAAAUAUUUUUAACAUGGUAUCAGAGCCACGUCUUUGGUUGGAAUUGGGCGUUUGUCCUACCUACCCAUUCCUAAAACUACCCUUCCAAAUACCCAUAAACUAAACCAUGGCCAACCCAACCUCAUCCUCAUUUCCCAUUCCCAUUUUUGAUGGGAACAACUAUGAUUUUUGGAGCAUAAAAAUGACUACAUUCUUGAUGGCCCAAGACUUAUGGGACAUCGUGGAAAAAGGUUGCGAGGCUCCACCAGAAGGUGCAAGUGUUUCGAAGGAUCAACUACAAAAGGAUGCAAGGGCGCUAUAUUUUAUCCAACAAGCGCUCUCGGAAACUGUAUUUCCAAGAAUUAUUGGAGUGAGGACUGCAAAAGAGGCUUGGGAUAUACUACGAGAAGAAUUUCAAGGAUCGGAAAAGGUACGCACUAUUCGCCUUCAAACUCUAAGAAGAGAUUUUGAGAAUUCUAAAAUGAAAAAUUAUGAGACCGUACAAGAAUAUGGUGGAACGAAGACGGAAUAAAAGACAUGAGACAAACUACAAUAUCCGAAGUAUCCCGAAAAUGGAUCAAGGGGGAGUGUUGGAAAUGGUGAUCCAUUUUCUAGAAUCUCAUAGAGUUGCUAAACUUCUAGAAUUCCCUAGAUGAAGUUUCUGGAAGAAAGAGAAAAAUGUAGAAGCACAUGUGUAGAUCUCUCUAGAAGAAGAGAGGAUAAACUACAAUCUAAAACUCUCUAGAUUAAGCCAAAGUGGACAACAUUCUACACAAAUCUAGAAUGUUGGUAGAGCACCCUAUAAAUAGGAAAGAGGGGAGAGCAUAGUAGAACAACAAAUGUAAAAGAGUGAAGGGAGCUAACCAUAAAAACCACUAGCUCCCUCACCAACACCUCCUUCAACUAUUGUAAAAUUAUUUUCAUAAACUAGUUGAAUUAUCUUUGUCCCAUAAUUUCCUAUCCUUGUCCAUUCUCUACAAACUGUAUCAUACACUUGCACACACCAUUAAUAACAAACUAUAACUAAUACCAAAACCAUGCUUCUGCACGCUCACAUCCAAAUAUUUUUAACAAUAACACUUUAACAUACCUGUUAUUCUUAAUUUGAUCCUUGAUUUUUCCUAUAAGUUUUUACUAUAAAAGCUGGAAAAAAUUAAUAUUUUGACAAAAAUACUGGACUGUACUUUUUCCCAAGUUGAUGCAAAAGCCCUCUGUCUAGAGCUUUGUUUGCAUUGUUUUGGAUAUGCACCAUGGCCACAAGUUUUUUCGGUUGCGAUGCACUGCAUGUCUUUAGAUUUGCCAAAAUAUAAAAUAUAAUUGCACACAUGAGCUAAAAAUGAUAGAACUUGCUGCCGGAAUCAAUUGUUUUAUAGAAUUGUUGAUUAUCCCUAUGGCCGACUGUUAGCAAUGAGGUCGAAUUGUCUACUCUUUAUACUUUCUUCACCUAUAAAUUACUGGCACGUCAGUCAUUGUGAUUUGUAGUCCACUACCUAUACUUCCCUAAUAUUUUAGGGGCUUGUUUUGUAAACAGUUUCAAAUAGCUUCGCCAUGAAGGACAGUUUUCGGGCAUUUAGCUGGAACGUCUUCCUGAUUUUGAUCCUGCCCCUGCUCUCUUUCCAUCAUAUUCAGUGAUGACAUUUGUAUCAAAGACUGUCACCCUCGAUGCUUACUUCUAUGUCUGUCACCUUCAAUACACGCCGGUACGUCUGUAAGUGUUGCGCAUGUCACAGAGAUGUGAGGUGCCUGUUUUAUCCUUUGGCACUUCUGUACCAUAGAAUUGUAGCUUCCCUUGUUCCAAUGGAAAAAUUCGAUUCUUCUUUUUGGGGGUUCCAUUCUUAGAUGGCUAGAAUGUUUGCUAGUUUAGAUGGCCUGGAGUUGUGCAAUGUUGAAACUCUAUUGCACAAACUCUAUUGCACCUUCAAGAAUUCGAUGUUGUCGUCGCCAAUGUGUCCAGACUUGCGAUUUUUUUUUUCUUUAUUCAUUUUCUGCAAUGGCAACGUAUGCGAUUUUGCUGUUCAAUUUGAAUCCCCAUUCCAAUUGUCCUCUGCGAUGACUCAAGCACGUAUAACUAGGUUCUAGUGAGUACUUGAUUUCUUCCUGUGGCUCAUACGAGAAGUGCUUGACUAUUUCAAUUUCUCCUCUCCAUCAUAUGUCUACACCUUUAAUUCAUGUUAUUGUCAUGGAAGGAUCGUACAACUUAAAGUGAUGGAAACUUGAUUGAAUCGUAUCUCAUUGUAGGAGUUGGUUUGAGGUUGUAGAUCAAUGGUUGAAUCCUCAAAUUUAGGGCAAGCUAGAAUUUUGUGCUCCAAGAACAAUCAUAGAUUAUUUAGUGCAAAAUAUGACUUCACAUCAGUAAGAGAAGGGGAAGAAAGUUUGCUGAACAUGGAAUACAAAGGGGAAAAAUGAUGAUACACGCACAUUUCAUCUUCAUGGAGAGACAUAAUCUGUUGGGCCAUAAGGCUCAAACAGCUCAGCAAAGAAUCCCUUCUUUCUCUUAGGGUUCCAUCCCAUGUCUCUGCACAGUUGAUCAUUGUACCAAAUGUGAAGUGCAGCAAUGCAUGAUCUUCUGUAGUAUGGACCUGAAGAUCGCUUCAUGUACUUGUCCCACUCUUCUAUAUCCUCCUCCAUCUCGGAAGGUAGCUUGAACGUACCUGCGAGAAGCUCGGCUAGCCACCGGCACCGUAUCUCUGAUGUGUACAAGUUUGCAGCACUUUCUGAGAACCCGAUCACUGCUAGUUGGGGAAUUCGGGGAUGGAUGCAUGCUCUGAGAGGAUGAGAUCACAUAAUUUAGUCCAUGACAGUAACCAUAGAGAAAUAACACAGGCCACUCAUCUUUUGGCUGAACUUUCCAAAGCAAAAAGUGCACAGUUUCAUGCUUAAAAGUUUUCCAGCUAUAAUUUUUGCAAAGACAUUCUCAGAAAAAAAGUUGAGAUGAACGAUGAGAAACCAAAGACAUUCCCAGGAAAGAAAAAAGGACGAAUAAGUAGACAAAAUUUUCACUAAAUAUGAAGACAAAAAUCAUUCCCAAAACCAAAUGCACCUAAAUCUCCAUGAGAACCCAGGACACAGGAUCAGAUUAGCUUAUAGCAGGAGGGAAUUCUAGGGCAAUACCUGUAUAGUGGAACUAUUGAAUUAGGAGAUCCAGAUAAGCAGUCCUGAAACAGUUGCGACUCAAACAAAUCUAGGAGCUUCUUUUCGCCCCUAAACCCAGUCGCGAGGAUGACCAAGUCUGAAUUCAGAGGCUCGACCUCUCCAUCGAUUGAAAUCCCGUUCUUGCAGAAUCCGAAUGCUGGGGCCUUCUUCAAGAUUAUGCUUCCCUCUUCCACCCUGUCGUAGAAUUUUUCGGGUACGGUCGAGAUCAAGCAGGAGCUGAUUUCUUGAAGGAAACUGUGUUUUGGCACCAUCCCGAACUUCUUCAACCGAAGCUUUCGCUUUAUGUGGCUUUCAACAAACUUGGAAAUCGCCCAUCUCUGUCAUUGAAGUGGAUCGUAUUACACGAACAGCAUGUAACAGCUAAUGAAUUUAAUCAUAUGAAGCACUUAAUCUGAAUAAUUUCGAAUUCAAAUUUAUUACUCCACGUGGAUAAUUCUGAAUCCAAGUUUCUGUGACCAAAAUUACUGGCUCGAUAUUACUAAAUGGUGAAAGAAAUUCCCCUUGCAGAUCUAAUUAAGAAGGCGCCUAUAUCACUGUAGGCGGACAAAUCGACAUUUGUUUGGAAAGAACAAUCACUGUGAUGAGAAGUUUCAAGAGAUCUAUCUCGUCGCGUACCAGGGGCGUUAAAAGCGUGGCCAUGAGGCUCAACAACAAGCCCUCUCUGGGCUUAUGCACGAGGAGCUCCGAGAAGCGGGUGAGGUAGAGAAGUGCGAGAGGCACGCCCCACGGUAGAUAAUCCGGCACGUUCCAGUGUUCCGUCUUGUACAACACCGUACAAGGCCGCUCCACUCCUGCAGGACAAAAAUUUCAUCCAAAAGGAAGUUGCCACAAAUCCACUCUUGUCAAAAUGCCGGAGCUGGAGGAGCGGCUUGCACACAGUGAAGAAAAUUUAAUGCUGCGACGACUAGGCUUCAGUUUAAGGAAUGUUGAAAUUCAGGGAUUUCGCACUUACCAUUAACAGCUGAGCACUCCAUGGCAAUGUCCAAUGCGGAUUUCUGCAGCCCGACGACCACCACUGUCUUGCCACUGACGAACUCCUUCGCAGCUUGGUAGGUCCAUAGCUGCGUAGUCCAUGGAGUGGAUCACCUUGCUAUGGAACGCCUCCGGGGCCUCUGUUCGGUGGAAACUCCGGUAUGUUCGGAAUGCCACUGAAUCGCCCAACACAAAGAAUCACAAAGUCCACUUUCAUACGUCUGUCAUUGUCAUUAGAUGGUAAGGUAUAGAAACUAAGAAAUUGCUACCGAGCAAUCAUUAACACAAAAUGGAAAUGAAAAUUGUAACCCAUUGCCGGUCUAAAUAGGUAUUGGCAUGAGACAGUAACAUGAAACUGCAUUAAGAAGAGCAACCCCCAAUUAUGCAAUAACAGGAAGCAUACGUCUACCUCAGUUUCAAGGCUCAGACAAUCCUGCACUCUGAUCUUCCACUUCCCAUCCGAGCUGAAUGGCCUGCCGUCACCGCCCCACAGGCUCCAUGACUGCAUCGCCUCACCAGGUGGCCCCUCGUACCUGAUGCUAAGGACCCUGGUGCCGAACUUGAUGUGCUUAGGCAGGUCGAAGUGGUGGGCAUAUGACUUGAUGUACCCGAGCACUUGUUGUGUAUCGGGGAAAUCCUCGGCGACCGAGUCUGGCCAUGGGAAGUCCGAGAACUGGUAGGUUGGUUUUGGGGUCUGGAGCUUCGUGGUCUCCACGGUCUUUGUCCAGACCCCUCCGAUGCCGGCUUCAGACUCGAAGACGAUGGGGUGGAGGCCCUUAGAGAGGGUGUAUUUGCAGGCUAGGAGGCCGCUGAUCCCAGCACCAACUAUGGCUAUCUUUUU
This 13160-nucleotide long non-coding RNA is filed under the name Eucalyptus grandis. Its description in RNAcentral is "long non-coding RNA (EGRA_LNC004322)". The record is from RNAcentral. Lineage: Eukaryota; Viridiplantae; Streptophyta; Magnoliopsida; Myrtales; Myrtaceae.